Molecule: ribosomal RNA, 253 nt
Filed under: uncultured bacterium
Lineage: Bacteria
Description: partial 16S ribosomal RNA
Rfam family: Bacterial small subunit ribosomal RNA
Source: RNAcentral
UACGGAGGAUCCAAGCGUUAUCCGGAUUUAUUGGGUUUAAAGGGUGCGUAGGUGGUUUGAUAAGUUAGAGGUGAAAGUUUGCGGCUUAACCGUAAAAUAGCCUCUGAUACUGUCGAACUAGAGAGUAGAUGCAGCGGGCGGAAUGAGUAGUGUAGCGGUGAAAUGCUUAGAUAUUACUCAGAACACCGAUUGCGAAGGCAGCUCGCUAAUCUACAUCUGACACUGAGGCACGAAAGCGUGGGGAGCGAACAGG